AUGAACGCGCCUACACUUAUAAAGAAACCAAGCAUUCAAUUUUGGAGAAAAUAUUGAUUUAUUUCGUAACGAUGUACGAGUUUCAGUUCUUAGAUGUUGUCAAACUGCUGGAAUCAGGAAGUAAACUCUCAUAAGAAAUUUUUAAGCAAGAUCAAUGAAUGAAUUCUUUAUUCAUAAAUUGUAUGAGCAAGAAUGGUCUACUAUGAUAGGAAAGGAAACAAAAUAAAAGCAAGCAAUUACACAAAGAAACUACGGUAAAAUUCAAUGCAAGGUACAAAGAUUUAUUGCUCAAUUUGCUUAAGAACAAUAAAUAUAUAUUUAUGUUUAAUCACGUUGUAAAGCAUGGAGAACUAUUUUUACAUUACAUUCUUUAAUAUAUGCUUAACAUUACUGACAAAGUUCGAAAUCCUAUCUGAUAAGAUUUUCAAUGAUAAAAUAUCAAGCUAUGCUCAUUAUUCUAAUGAUUUUCGGUCAAAUUCCUAAGACAGCCGUGGCCUUAUCACACAGAUCGCUUCAACAUCAAACAAACAAAGAGAUUUUAAGAUAGAAAGCCGACGAAGAUGUAUCUGACUUUUUCAUAUGAGCCAUUCACGUCAUAUGGGAAAGCGCUUGAAACAAUCGGAAAAACGUCCUCAAAACGAACAAUAAUUGAAAGACUUAGAUUUGGAAUAUUGAAAAAAACAUUCCAGACAUUUCCUGAUGCUUCCAACGCUUUAACGUUUUGAAAAGAUGGGCAGCCAUGCGGAGAAUCUGCAUGUUUAGACUUGCCAAAACCUGUUCAAUUUCUGUCUUCGAGUACGGCGAAAAACUAGCCUGUUUCGUCGUACUCAUAUCAAUGGCCACCUCGAUGGAUAUAAUGAUGCUAUUUUUUUCAAAGAAAACACUGUUUCAUGCAAUUGGUAAUUAUUUCGUGUUUUGAUAUAUUCAAUAAGCCGGUAGUCAAACGUUUUGAAAUCCUUGUUUGUAAUUUGAAAAGAAUUUGAAGAAUUGUAGGAGUAUUAAAACAACAGCACUUGUUUUGAAUUCUUGAAACAGCAUGGUUCAGACACAAUCAUCCUCUCUCAUGAAAUAAGGGUGAGACUGACAUAAAGACCUGACAAAGAUCUUCGCAAACAACCAAACUUUCGCUGACAUGCAAUUAGUCAAACGCACUCCAAAGAAGAAUAUUUUUUACUUUAAAAGAUUUAUUACUCGACAGAAAACAAAAGAAAAGCCCUGGGGUCGACUUUGGAAAAUAUCCGUUCAAAUCUGUGAUACUUCUCAAUGGAACUAAAGAAUUAGGAAAUUUAGCUCUUGACUUCGAAAGACCUUAGUCUUCGUCUUCUUCCGUUGUUUUCACAGACAAACAAUCGAGUUGAACCUUAUUUUCAGCCUGAGGGCGUAUUAUUGUCUCACACAGCAAUUAAAAGACUUUAACUCUGAAAUGAUUCCUGAUAUGUCAUUGAAAAGUUUUGCUUUAUGGCUAAAUCUUUGAAAUCCAAUUAAGAUUAGAAGUAAUUUAUAGUAACACAAAUUCUAUUAGGUGACGACAAUGGAAAGAAUGCGAAGCAUCAAUUUGUACAAUCUCAGCAAUAUUAAAAUUAUUUAUUUAGUUUUCUGUAGAACAACACAACAUAUGUAGCUUGUCGUGGAAAACAUAUUGCGAUAUGAUUAUCAAGACAAAAAUGGACGUUUUCACAAAAGAUGAAAAUCGGUGAAGUAUAUUUAAAUUGCAUGGACGACAUGCUACAGUAAUGUCAGGUAAUCGUUCAUUCGUUCUUAUUCAAAAAUAUGUUUAUACGUAAUGGCUUAUGUAAUGUAAUGUAUUUGAUGAUAUUGAUUUAUUAAUCAAAGCUUUCACAUAACUGUUAAACAAUAUUCUUCAUUAUCUAUAAAAUUUACACAACAGUCAUUUUGGAAAAACAGUUGUUAAAGUAUAAAAUUACAAAAACAUCAUAAGCAAAGACAAAACACCACAUAAACGAGAUCUGGCAAGCUCUCCUAUCAUUGACCUCAAAAUGUAUACAAUAUUUUGGUUCUGUUAUAAAACAUUAGAAAAUCUUUAUAAAUCAUACUGCAAAUUUCUUUUGCUUCGUUUAUCAUUGGAGAAAUUUUAACGUUGACAUGUCUAUGGCGAUUACGAUUAACGGACGAAGACCAAUGAAGACCCACAUGACGUCACUGAAAACAAUGACAUUGGCAAGCGGAAUAUACCACUGUCUUGAUGAAUAGUCCGAGACUACAUCACACUGUUAAAACACGUGCAAAGCCAUAAAGGCAAGGCACGUGUGUUUGAUAUGAGAACCUUUGGAUUGUGACAAUCUUAAUAUGUUUCUAAAUUCACAUUGCUUAAUCGACAGUUCAAAAUGACGUAAGAAAUAAUCACUAGAUUCAUACUUUACAAACAUUAGACUAUUCAUUGUCAAAGUUAUAAAGAAAAAUAUUAAUAUGGAACUAUAUACAGUAGCUAAUAUUCAAAAAUGCCGAACACUGUCUUUAUCAAGUACAAUAAACCUACACUUGAUGCAUCGCGAUUGCACAAAAAUGCAAAUAAUAUUAAUAUACCCAUAACAAGAACUGAAAUCGUUUAAUUGUUUAGUAAUUUUGUAGUGGAAAUAUAAAACAAUUGCUUUGAAAAA
This is a long non-coding RNA of Xenia sp. Carnegie-2017, 2618 nucleotides long. RefSeq lists it as uncharacterized. The transcript has 4 exons. Lineage: Eukaryota; Metazoa; Cnidaria; Anthozoa; Malacalcyonacea; Xeniidae. The record is from RefSeq and is a predicted model, not a curated record.